Molecule: transfer RNA, 72 nt
Filed under: compost metagenome
Description: tRNA-Thr
Rfam family: tRNA
About the family: Transfer RNA (tRNA) molecules are approximately 80 nucleotides in length. Their secondary structure includes four short double-helical elements and three loops (D, anti-codon, and T loops).
Source: RNAcentral
GGCGACGUAGCUCAGCCGGUAGAGCAGCGGUUUCGUAAACCGCAGGUCGUCGGUUCAAGUCCGCCCUUGCGA